GGUUGUGGCCGUAUGUGCUUGUCAAUGCCUGAUCUCGUCUGAUCUUGGAAACAAGGCCGGGCCUGGUUAAGACUUGAAUGGGAGACCACUGUGAAUACCAUGUGCUGUAGUGG
Molecule: ribosomal RNA, 113 nt
Filed under: Periophthalmus magnuspinnatus
Lineage: Eukaryota; Metazoa; Chordata; Actinopteri; Gobiiformes; Gobiidae
Source: RNAcentral